AGGAGCUUAGGAUCGACCACAAACCGAAGGCCUUCAAAGCCUUAAACAAGAGUUAGAACCUCUUAGCUCCUG
RNAcentral lists this transfer RNA (72 nucleotides) under Nicator chloris. RNAcentral's name for it is "tRNA-Trp". It matches the Rfam family "tRNA". From Rfam's summary of the family: Transfer RNA (tRNA) molecules are approximately 80 nucleotides in length. Lineage: Eukaryota; Metazoa; Chordata; Aves; Passeriformes; Pycnonotidae. The record is from RNAcentral.